AGGGUAUAACUAAGGUGAGGAGUGCAUGCCUAGCAUGCAUGAGGGCCUGGGUUCAAUCCCUAGUACUUCUA
RNAcentral lists this transfer RNA (71 nucleotides) under Camelus bactrianus (Bactrian camel). It matches the Rfam family "tRNA". Rfam says of the family: Transfer RNA (tRNA) molecules are approximately 80 nucleotides in length. Their secondary structure includes four short double-helical elements and three loops (D, anti-codon, and T loops). Further hydrogen bonds mediate the characteristic L-shaped molecular structure. tRNAs have two regions of fundamental functional importance: the anti-codon, which is responsible for specific mRNA codon recognition, and the 3' end, to which the tRNAs corresponding amino acid is attached (by aminoacyl-tRNA synthetases). tRNAs cope with the degeneracy of the genetic code in two manners: having more than one tRNA (with a specific anti-codon) for a particular amino acid; and 'wobble' base-pairing, i.e. permitting non-standard base-pairing at the 3rd anti-codon position. Lineage: Eukaryota; Metazoa; Chordata; Mammalia; Artiodactyla; Camelidae. The record is from Rfam by way of RNAcentral. RNAcentral also lists the same sequence under 2 other names.